Molecule: non-coding RNA, 411 nt
Organism: Microcebus murinus (gray mouse lemur)
Lineage: Eukaryota; Metazoa; Chordata; Mammalia; Primates; Cheirogaleidae
Source: RefSeq, a predicted model, not a curated record
UUGCCACCGCCUGAGCUUCAGUCCUUCCGCGGAGGAGUGUUCUGAACUGUGGGGGUUAUGGAAGCAGAACAGCACUACUGAACCCAUCGAUUACACUCUGGAGGAGGCCAGCUAUCACUUCUGUGCUGAGGACUCUUCUUUCUCACCACCAGGUGGUUGGUGACAAUGGGCUUUAUAUGGAUCUCGGAUACCUGUAGUUGGAAGGUGUUUUAAUUAUUGAUCAUCAUAUGGGACUUGAAUUAGCUAUAUACAUCAUACAAUAUAGGACAUGUUUGCAUUCAUUCUUAGGACUCAUGCCCAGAUUAUGACGAGAUGUAACAUCUAGAAGGGAGAAGACAAUGGAGUCAGCAUCUCAGGAUUCUGCUUCUGCCCCUGCAUGACCUGGGUGGGCCUCUUAGUCCCCCGGCCUCA